UUCCAAAAAUCUCUAUCCCCUUUAAGUACAAGUCUUUCUCUAGAGGUCUCCACUCACCAUGUCUGUGUGAACCUUUAGCUGAACUUUCCUUCAAAGGUGAUUCUGCAAUGUCUUUCCCUUUAUCACUGGCAUAGUCCUUGGCCUUAUUUCCACUUAUAGGUAGAGGAGGAGGACGUUCAUCUGGAUUUUGUUUAUGUAAAACAUGCACUGCAUUAGUGGUCACCAUCUGGCUUUCAUCUUCAUUGGAUUCAACCAUUUCCACAUCCUGACCAACUGGGUUUGGGUAAAGGUCCAGAGAAUUAGGUGCUGCCAACUUCAGUUUCUUACUGGAAGAACUUAGUAAAUCUGUAAGCAAUUCCAAUAAACUGGUAACGCAAGGAAAAAACUAGAGAAAACAAUAGAUCCUCAUACCUGUUUUUUCCAAAAAUCUCUAUCCCCUUUAAGUACAAGUCUUUCUCUAGAGGUCUCCACUCACCAUGUCUGUGUGAACCUUUAGCUGAACUUUCCUUCAAAGGUGAUUCUGCAAUGUCUUUCCCUUUAUCACUGGCAUAGUCCUUGGCCUUAUUUCCACUUAUAGGUAGAGGAGGAGGACGUUCAUCUGGAUUUUGUUUAUGUAAAACAUGCACUGCAUUAGUGGUCACCAUCUGGCUUUCAUCUUCAUUGGAUUCAACCAUUU
Molecule: long non-coding RNA, 676 nt
Filed under: Olea europaea (common olive)
Lineage: Eukaryota; Viridiplantae; Streptophyta; Magnoliopsida; Lamiales; Oleaceae
Description: long non-coding RNA (OEUR_LNC006248)
Source: RNAcentral